AUUGAACGCUGGCGGCAGGCCUAACACAUGCAAGUCGAGCGAGCGGCGGACGGGUGAGUAAUGUCUGGGAAACUGCCUGAUGGAGGGGGAUAACGAGUGGAAACGGUAGCUAAUACUGCAUACCACCCGAUGUGGCCAGAUGGGAUUAGCUAGUAGGUGGGGUAAUGGCUCACCUAGGCGACGAUCCCUAGCUGGUCUGAGAGGAUGACCAGCCACACUGGAACUGAGACACGGCCCAGACUCCUACGGGAGGCAGCAGUAGGGAAUAUUGCGCAAUGGGCGCAAGCCUGAUGCAGCCAUGCCGCGUGAGUGAAGAAGGCCUUCGGGUUGUAAAGCACUUUCAGCGGGGAGGCGUUACUCGCAGAAGAAGCAACGGCUAACUCCGUGCCAGCAGCCGCGGUAAUAC
RNAcentral lists this ribosomal RNA (406 nucleotides) under uncultured bacterium. RNAcentral describes it as "partial 16S ribosomal RNA". It matches the Rfam family "Bacterial small subunit ribosomal RNA", at positions 29 to 526 of the family's 1533-position model. The record is from RNAcentral.